UACGUAGGUGGCAAGCGUUGUCCGGAAUUAUUGGGCGUAAAGCGCGCGCAGGCGGCCUUUUAAGUCUGAUGUGAAAGCCCACGGCUCAACCGUGGAAGGUCAUUGGAAACUGAAAGGCUUGAGUACAGAAGAGGAAAGCGGAAUUCCACGUGUAGCGGUGAAAUGCGUAGAGAUGUGGAGGAACACCAGUGGCGAAGGCGGCUUUCUGGUCUGUAACUGACGCUGAGGCGCGAAAGCGUGGGGAGCAAACAGC
Molecule: ribosomal RNA, 253 nt
Filed under: uncultured bacterium
Lineage: Bacteria
Description: partial 16S ribosomal RNA
Rfam family: Bacterial small subunit ribosomal RNA
Source: RNAcentral